GUGAAGCACAUUAUUCGUCACAUUUCAAGAUACAUCUUUUCUGUGUGCUCUGAAAUUGAAAAACAUUAUGAAGAUGAUCCCCAGUGGAGAGGAAUUAUAGGAAAUUGUAACUUUCACCUGGAAUUGUCCAUAAUACUCAAGGAAGAUGACAUUUCUAAUCCAUUCAGGAAUGAUGCUAAUAGCAUGCAUCACUUUAUCAUGAGCCUGUGGCAAAUGCUGGCGAAAACACCACUCAUGAUUUUCUGGAAUUAACACCAAAUUGUUAUGCUAUCUUUUUUCAAGGAUCCUACAGGAGUUUGUGACCAUUACGUGUAAAAAAUGCAAGAGAACCACAGUGAAAUUUUAUCAUCUACACUCAAGUACAAGCAUGACUGCUCUCUGUUUUGUGUUCAAUUUAUCUACUUAUGAAACUAGUUGGUUUUUUCCCUUCUUCAUCUCCGAGGACCAAGAUGACUACAAUUGUUAGUUGGGAAUCAACAACCGUAAUCUUGACUACUUCUCAGUGAUCCAGACUUUUUUGCAUUUUUCCCUAGGCAGUGAGAAAUCCUCCUAAUUUUUCAUCUAUGACAGCUUUUACGUGAAAAGCUUGCAUCUUCCUUUUCCCAAUUCUAUUAAGACUUGAGAGAGGGUGAGAGGGAUUUUUCUGACAUCCUCCAAAUCUGCCAAAUUUCUUCAGUUUCCCAUCUGUAUUAGAGUGCUGGUGUGAUAGGUGAUACUGGAGAAAGUUAAAAUUAAAUUCACUUAAAGUAAUUUUAUAUUCUCUGAAUGGGUACCCACUACUCUGCCAGCACUUGUGACUUUGGCUAAAAUUUCUUCAAGCCUGAGAAAGCCUUUUCUUCCCGUGGAGAUUCUAAAUGGAUGCAAAGAGAGAGGAAAAUGAUCAAAGGUUUCCAAUUUAAUAAUUGAUUCAUUGGUUUUAAACAUUUUUUUUUUCCAGCCUGGAUAUUGCUCUGCUGUUUUCUAACUUGUUUUUUAGUUGUCUUAUAUUCCCUCAGCUGUGGCAGUAUUCCUGGAGCCAAAUGUGAGUGCACUACCUCAAAAUGCCAGCAGUGGAAGCUGGUAAGCAAGUGGGGGAAAAAUCACCAGAGGAAUUACUGAAGCUUGGGACAAAGGCAGAAAACACAUCAGUACUGCACUAACAGAGCAGCAGGUACCCUCAUAGAGAAGAUAAAAUUACAGUCUUUUAUGACGCCAUGCUGCAGUCCCACUAUGGAGUUGUGAUCACCACAAAAACCUCAAGAGGAUAUAUCCUUGUCUGAAUUGCUACAGUUAUUAUCUGUUACAGAAAGUAAAAUAAGGCAAACGUGUAAAACUCCUCAAGUCCGAAUGGAGAAGUAGAGAAAGGAGGUUUCUGCUGUGCCUGAUGACAAUUUUUGUUUUUUUCCACACACACAAAAUAUUCUGGCUCCACGUUGGAGCACUAGUUGUGAUGAAACCUAGUCUUGGUCGGAUUCUAAGGAAGGGCCAGAACGUUCGUUGAGGAAUAAAGAGUCAGACUACUCCAGAAAAUGUGUUCCAGCCCUGGUUUAUUACUCACAGAGCAGCAGGUAACCCGAUAGCUAAAGACAAAUCAAGUCAGUCUCAAGGCUGAUAACAUUAAAUACAACACACAGGAAUUUCAUUCCUCCAGGCAAUCCUUGAAGUGAAAUUUUAUACUGUUGGGGUGUAUCCUGCAGAAUCAAUUGUUUCAAUGAGAACCUGCCUUGUAAUCAGCAACAGCCUUGAGAUCAAAACUACUGGGAAGUUAUUCUGAACUUCUGUGUCACAAAGAUUUCAACUGAUUGAACUGUGUACACUUGUAAAAUUGCACUUGCUGAGGAAUUUGCAGCUGUAAUCACAAGAGUUGAUACUCAAAAUGUGCAGAAAAACAGCAAACUUUUGGAUUCUCCAUUCCAGACCAGUGGCUUUUCAUCUUGAUGAAGUCAACCUCCAAAAUGUAUUGGUUCCUUCUCUCUAAAAUGAUCCCUGGUCCACAUUCAGAUCGCUGAUGGGACUGCACACUGCUUUAAUUAAAUUUCUAUUGCAGAAAUUGUCCUCUGGCAUGGCACAGGUUUAGACAUUUUUAUUUGUAUUCUAAUCUUGGAGCUCUCAAAGUUACAUAUUUCAACAUCUUGAAGUUGCUUUUGUUAUAGGAAUGGAAAUAUAUAUCCAUUGUUAAUAAUUAUUGUUGACAAGUAAUAGUUAUCUGAAUACAUCAGUCAUAUUAGAAUGUAUAGUCAGGCUGACAUGUUUCCCUAAGGCUAACCAACUACUGCAGCUCUUUGGUGGUUAAAAAAGUGGUGGUCAAAACUCAAUUACCACUUCCAUUAUAAGGCAUUUUAUAACUUUAAAAUAUACGUUUCCAUUUAGUUUGAAGGAGAUGAGUGUUCCUGAUAAUGUACUUUACUUUCCCAACCUUUAGUUCAUUGAAAUUCAUGGCAAGCAUUCAAUGGCAGUAUUUCAUCCCUUUUUAUAAAGGUAGGCAGGGAUGUAAAUGAGUUUUGCAAUGAUGAAAUUGGAUGGUAAUCAUUCAGAAUUUUGGGGGUAUUUUUUAUUAAAAAAUAAAAUCUCUUGCUUGAACCUAAAUGCUGUUGGAUGCUUAUGUAGAUGUCUGCUCAGUCUGUUUGCUAUAAAGGAAAAAAAUCCUAGUGCCCUCUCAGAUUUACAGUUUGUGGGUAUUUUGCUUGCUUACAGUCAUCCAAUUGAGAUCUGAUCCUUGCCAAAAUCACAUUUACUGGUUUGGUUUAUUUUUUGUUUCAGGAGCAAUUUUUGAACUUAGUGAUGUGCUGUUACAUGAAAAAAAAAGAAAUCCUCAAUAUUUAAAGGCCUUAAGCAUCGAUGAGCUUUUUUCUAGGUUAUUACAGAAUGUAUAAUUUUAUACUCCAUUUAAUGUAUAUUGUACCAUCUGUAAUAUUGAUACAACAGAAAUUUGGCAAUUCCAUCUAGUGACACUGCAUAAGCAUGCUGACUGGAGAGGGUGAGGGAGUUCUGACUGUAUGCUUUGGUGCAUUGAAACGAAACCCACACACACUUAAUGGCAAUCAAAAAUAUACAGGGUGAGCUUAUUUAGAAGUCCUGUGUGUUUACCAGACUCUCAGAAAAAGAGGGAAAUGGUUUUAUCAUCACAAGCCAUUGACAUGGCUAAGUAGUUAUAUAUUAAGUUCCAUGAUGGAUGAAUACCCUGGAGUGCUCUGCCUAUCACAGUAGCUCCUGCUGUUCCAAAACCAUUUCAUUACCUCUGCUGUAUUAUUGCACAGGAAAGCUUAAAUAAAAUAAAUGACUGUUGGGAAUAAAAUUGAGAAGUAUAUUCUAUCAUUCUGCUGAGAAAUAAUAAAAAAAUUGGCAGGGAAAGAUAUUUUUCUGAUUAAAAUUUAAUUAGGAUAAACUAGCAGCAACUAGUUAUCUCAGUAUUUUAGGAUGGAUUAAUACUGUAUGGAUUUGUGCUAAGAGGUGCAGGACAGAAUGCAGUGUCUUAGAGAGAUUGUCUGGGACAGUGCAAAGUGUAAAUGUGCUGUUUUGUAAAAUCUGAAUAUAGCCUCUCUUUGGUCAAAACCCACAUCAUGCUUCUCAAUACUUGUUUUCUUUGUUUCUUUGUUCUUAAGCCAACAAUGAAAAUACUGUAUGAUAUACAAGUGUAACACAUGCAUAUCAAUAAGUGAAAAUAAAUGGCUUUUCAAAUAUACUAAA
Molecule: RNA transcript, 3666 nt
Organism: Melopsittacus undulatus (budgerigar)
Lineage: Eukaryota; Metazoa; Chordata; Aves; Psittaciformes; Psittaculidae
Gene: TAFA2
Gene name: TAFA chemokine like family member 2
Exons: 4
Source: RefSeq, a predicted model, not a curated record